This 506-nucleotide ribosomal RNA is filed under the name uncultured bacterium. RNAcentral describes it as "partial 16S ribosomal RNA". It matches the Rfam family "Bacterial small subunit ribosomal RNA", at positions 29 to 523 of the family's 1533-position model. The record is from RNAcentral.
AGUGAACGCUGGCGGUAGGCCUAACACAUGCAAGUCGAACGGCAGCACAGGAGAGCUUGCUCUCUGGGUGGCGAGUGGCGGACGGGUGAGGAAUACAUCGGAAUCUACUUUUUCGUGGGGGAUAACGUAGGGAAACUUACGCUAAUACCGCAUACGACCUACGGGUGAAAGCAGGGGAUCUUCGGACCUUGCGCGAUUGAAUGAGCCGAUGUCGGAUUAGCUAGUUGGCGGGGUAAAGGCUCACCAAGGCGACGAUCCGUAGCUGGUAUGAGUGGAAGCGCAGCCGUAGUGGAAGUGGGCGGCUGUCCAGACUCCUACGGGAGGACGCAGUGGGGAAUAUUGGACAAUGGGCGCAAGCCUGAGCCAGUCAUACCGCGUGAGUGAAGAAGGCCUUCGGGUUGUAAAGCCCUUUUGUUGGGAAAGAAAUCCAGCUGGUUAAUACCCGGUUGGGAUGACGGUACCCAAAGAAUAAGCACCGGCUAACUUCGUGCCAGCCGCCGCCGUAA